RNAcentral lists this unclassified non-coding RNA (250 nucleotides) under plant metagenome. RNAcentral describes it as "partial contains small subunit ribosomal RNA, internal transcribed spacer 1, and 5.8S ribosomal RNA". The record is from RNAcentral.
GUAGGUGAACCUGCGGAGGGAUCAUUAACACGCUCCAAACCAACUUAUCAACCCAACCGUGAACUCUUCGUCUCUGCCUGCUGCCACUGCCGGCGCUGACGGUGCGCGCUGAGACCCUGGAUGAAGGUGAAGGGAGAAUACGGCUGCCCUCUCUCGAGAGGUGCGGUCCUCCCUUCACACGGGUCGAGCUGCGCUUUCAUGGCUCCUCCUGGAGGUCAGCCGUCCCGGUGGUGGCGAGGCCCAACACAUA